AGUGAACGCUGGCGGUAGGCCUAACACAUGCAAGUCGAACGGCAGCACAGUAAGAGCUUGCUCUUACGGGUGGCGAGUGGCGGACGGGUGAGGAAUACAUCGGAAUCUACUUUUUCGUGGGGGAUAACGGAGGGAAACUUACGCUAAUACCGCAUACGACCUACGGGUGAAAGCAGGGGAUCUUCGGACCUUGCGCGAUUGAAUGAGCCGAUGUCGGAUUAGCUAGUUGGCGGGGUAAAGGCCCACCAAGGCGACGAUCCGUAGCUGGUCUGAGAGGAUGAUCAGCCACACUGGAACUGAGACACGGUCCAGACUCCUACGGGAGGCAGCAGUGGGGAAUAUUGGACAAUGGGCGCAAGCCUGAUCCAGCCAUACCGCGUGGGUGAAGAAGGCCUUCGGGUUGUAAAGCCCUUUUGUUGGGGAAGAAAAGCAGCAGGUUAAUACCCCGCUGUUCUGACGGUACCCAAAGAAUAAGCACCGGCUAACUUCGUG
Molecule: ribosomal RNA, 492 nt
Filed under: uncultured bacterium
Lineage: Bacteria
Description: partial 16S ribosomal RNA
Rfam family: Bacterial small subunit ribosomal RNA
Source: RNAcentral